GAUAGUUUCUUUGCUAGCUUUGCGCUUGGUUGGCUUAUCACAAAUGGUGCCGGACUUGCAUCCUAUCCCAUCGACACUGUCCGCAGAAGGAUGAUGAUGACAUCCGGUGAAGCUGUGAAGUACAAGAGCUCCUUUGAUGCUUUCAACCAGAUCUUGAAGAAUGAGGGAGCGAAGUCGCUGUUCAAGGGUGCAGGUGCGAACAUACUUCGUGCAGUUGCUGGUGCUGGUGUGCUGGCCGGUUACGACAAGCUGCAGCUGAUUGUUUUUGGGAAGAAGUAUGGUUCUGGUGGUGCAUAAGGUAGUCCUUAGAUGGUGAUGAAAAAGUAAGAACUCUUUAUUCAGGAUCUCUUUUGGUUUAGCUUUCGAGAUUCCAAUAACUGUUUUGUGGGAGAUUCUCUCAUUUUUUUUCUGCUGCGGAGCAUUGUCUCCAAAACCUUUUAUUAUCCUAGUAGCUGUUUGUUGUGGAUUUGGUACUGUUAACGUCAGUAUUUAUCAGGCUGUC
Molecule: unclassified non-coding RNA, 502 nt
Filed under: Hevea brasiliensis (rubber tree)
Lineage: Eukaryota; Viridiplantae; Streptophyta; Magnoliopsida; Malpighiales; Euphorbiaceae
Source: RNAcentral